UUUAUUAUUCUUGCUUUGUUUGAGAUCCUUUCUCAGAAAAUGAUUCAUAAAAACAGUAGUUACAUUUUAACUGAACAGUUACUCUGACUGCUGCCUUGUGGCUUGCAAAAUUACUCCAGCAGACUAAUUUUGGAGUGGGAUGUUUUGUCCUUUGACACGAUGCUCCCGUACAAGCAGUUCUGUGCAAUUGCCUCAGUCCUUUCAUCUCAUUACAGUAAAAUGACGUUGUGUCCCAUUAAUUCAGCAGGUGCUGGUUGCAGUGCCCAGACACAUGCCAAGCAUGGAGUCUCCCAGAACAUUAUUGGCUGACAGAGGCAUCUCCCACCCUUUUCAGAUAUCAAAGUUAUUUGUCCUCUGCCCUCAGGGUAAAGUUGGUUUGCAGGAAGUAUCGGGAAAGCAAUCUAAGCCUUAAAAUAGAAAGGCAUACACAAGGGAACACCUUUCUUAAGGGUGGAAAGCAACUUCUAAUUAAAUAGGGGGAGAGCAAGUAGCAGUCUCCUCCUUUAAUGCACCAACACAUGGACUAUGUGCAAUAUGGGUAACAAAACUCUUGCAGGGACACAUUCAAGGUUGACUGAUUCCCAAUGAAAUCCACCUUAAAAUUACUGAACCAGUUUUUGGUAUAUUGUCCCCUUCCCACACAACAUGGCAGCUUCUUUCCUGAGUAGCAUAGGGAAAGCACAAGCUCUGCUUGGAGGAAGAUGAUGGAGCUGGAGUCAAACAGUGCCUGUGAGCUCCCACAACUCUCCUGUGUGCAGAGGUGCCUGCGUACAUGCAAACUUGUUUCUACCUGAUGUGUAAAUCAAGUAAAUCUAUGGGUCAUUAAAAAUGACAAUUUUUACCCAAACAGAAGGUGCAGAAGGUGCAAGAUGGGCUCUAGCACAAAUACAUUGGAUAACAUUGUUGGAAAAGAGGAUUCAUAAAAGUUUAAGUCCUUGGUGACACCCACCUUGGAAACAAUUCAACAGCCAGUCCUGUUUUUUUCCAGUACCAGUUCAUGUUAUGUUCUCAGAGCUAUGUACGCCCUGGGAGCCUGGGCUUGCUCCUGUUCCAGGAGCUCCAGCAUCAAAGAAGUGACUUUUGCCUUUUUCUUUCCACUCCAGGAAGCUCAUAGCAUUUAGUGCCUUAAAUCCCACACACCAGGCUUUCACCUCCAGCAGCUUUCCUGCCUGCCAGUGCUACUACAUUUUGUUCCAUCCAGCCUGGGACCUUGAGGUGAGAGCAGAUUCUCCUCACAGGCAGACUCUUCAGCACCUUGGGAAAGAAACUUUUCAGCUGCACUUAGCAUUUCUGAUCUCAGUGUUGGCUGCUGCCCAGCCUGCUCAAAUGGUUUGCACCAUUGCCAGUGGGAAAGCUUUUAUAUAAGGGAACAUAAAUAAUUUUCAAAAGUGCUUUAACUGUCAUAAAGUGUCUUAAUGGGUAGCAUUUAAUCUAAACAGAAAAUCCCAAAUGCCUACGUCAAUUAUAUGGGUUGUUUUUCUUAAAGUUAGAAGUCAGAAUGUUCUUUUUUUAUUUACAUUUUAUUACUUUAUGCCAGUAUGAGGGAACAUUUUCUGUUAAAUUUAGGUCAUGUUUGUAAUCUCUCGACUUUCAGGGUUUUAUAUGAGAUUCAGAACUCCCCUUCCACCCACAGAGUUGAGGCUGCUGGCAGCAAUGCCUAAUGCUUGCUCAAGCCUGAGAAGCUGCCUGAGGUCCAGGAAAUCUAGAGUUAAAGCUGACUUACUUCAGUUACUUUAAAAGCAUUUAAACAAGUGGUAGGGGUGCCUGGAGAUCUGUAGCUAAUCUACUUCUGCAUUUCUAGGGUCCUGUCCACAAAGAUGAGUAUUUCAAGUUUGUAGUAGACAGUGGGUGACCAUCACCCCUCAUUUAGGCAAGGACAAGGGGCUGGUGGAGCUGAUCCUCAGGUAGGGAACAUAAGAGGACAGAGACAAGGUGACAGAUCAAAAAGUGUUUUCACUAAAGCAGUCUGUUUGUGCUAAUACAAGCAGAUUAUAAUUCUGACUGAAAACCAAAUCUUUUUGCUUUAGGGAGAUGAAAAGCAGUUCCCAGGUUAUAUGAAUAAGACCAGGUCAACAACUUGAUUUUUGUGGAAAUUCACCAUUUGCACAGAUAGCUGGGGAGACAUACCUUCAAAAGUAGGACCACAAACUGACUCUCCUUCAUCUCCCUUUCCAGUUAUGGUAUCUGCAGGGUAGAUAAAAUAAUCAUCAGAGACCAUGGUUAUCACAGGCAUUUGUCACAGGGCUCUCAGUGAGCAGCUCAGCUGAGGUCAGAGAUGUGGGUUGUCCAUCACCCUGGGGGAACAACCGCUUCCAUCUCUGUUUCACUGCUGAAAUUUUGACAGACCUUUGGGCAGAGCCCUGCUUCCACUCCAGAAGACAAUCUCUCUAUUAAUUAUUUCCUGCAGUGUGUUUAAUUGCUAUGCUCUGAGAAGGUCCAGCAUCUCCUGCUGGGAGAGCUAUGGCAGUGGCAGCACUGAGCCAUGGAAGGAGUGCCCCAAAGAAGGGCAUCUGUCAGAGGGAGUGAGGUCAGAAGAAAGAAGGAUGAAAAUGCAGCUGUGAUUUUAUGGAACGAAAUCCAGGGUACACAGGAAGCAUGUGGCAGAGCAGAGGACUGAAGCCAGCUCUUUCCAGAGCUAUUGAUGGAUGCUGUCAGUAAUACUUAAAGGAUGAAGAGACUCUUGCUAAUAGCAAUUGCCCAGCAAAAAGUGGGAAAUGUGAAAGUCUGGUAUCCACAAAUUUCUGUGGCAAUGAGAUUUACAGCUUAAUUACACCCUGUGUAAAGUGUGUGCCU
Long non-coding RNA from Passer domesticus (house sparrow), 2793 nucleotides. RefSeq lists it as uncharacterized. The record is from RefSeq and is a predicted model, not a curated record. The transcript has 3 exons. NCBI's taxonomy places the organism in Eukaryota, Metazoa, Chordata, Aves, Passeriformes, Passeridae.